AUUGAACGCUGGCGGCAUGCCUUACACAUGCAAGUCGAACGGCAGCACGGGAGCAAUCCUGGUGGCGAGUGGCGAACGGGUGAGUAAUAUAUCGGAACGUGCCCAGUCGUGGGGAUAACGCAGCGAAAGCUGUGCUAAUACCGCAUACGAUCUAUGGAUGAAAGCGGGGGAUCGCAAGACCUCGCGCGAUUGGAGCGGCCGAUAUCAGAUUAGCUAGUUGGUGGGGUAAAGGCCCACCAAGGCGACGAUCUGUAGCUGGUCUGAGAGGACGACCAGCCACACUGGAACUGAGACACGGUCCAGACUCCUACGGGAGGCAGCAGUGGGGAAUUUUGGACAAUGGGCGCAAGCCUGAUCCAGCAAUGCCGCGUGCAGGAUGAAGGCCUCGGUUGUAACUAGCUUUGUUACGGUACGAAACGGACCCGUUUACC
RNAcentral lists this ribosomal RNA (431 nucleotides) under uncultured bacterium. Its description in RNAcentral is "bacterial SSU rRNA". It matches the Rfam family "Bacterial small subunit ribosomal RNA", at positions 30 to 466 of the family's 1533-position model. The record is from RNAcentral.